CUAGCUCCAGCUCCUUCAGUGUGGACUUAAUGGACUUGCAUAAUUGGGACACUCCAGAAAAAGAUUUAGAUGUGGCAUCUUCCUCCCUGUGAAAAUUUGGAAAAGCAAGCCACUCAUUCUACAUCCAGCUCAACCCAUUCAAUUUCCACAUAGAGAAAGUGAAUCUCAGAGAAGCUGUCACACAGACCCUUGGGGAUUCUGGAAUCAAGAAGCUGGAACCCUCAUACAGAGCUAUCUCCAAGGUACUACUCUAUCAGAGAGAGUCUGCAUAUCUGGGUACUGAAAAUCAUCCAUGCCUUUGUACCUGGAAAACUGGAGUGGCCAGUGACCUGGGAAAGGCCUAAGUCAGGGCCACAGCUUUUGGCAGAGCUGGGAGAAGGAAUCUAUAGACUCCUGACACUCCACACCUUCCCUAUGAUACCAUGCGCUCUAUUAAUGUACAUGUA
Molecule: long non-coding RNA, 446 nt
Organism: Erinaceus europaeus (western European hedgehog)
Lineage: Eukaryota; Metazoa; Chordata; Mammalia; Eulipotyphla; Erinaceidae
Exons: 3
Source: RefSeq, a predicted model, not a curated record